This 253-nucleotide ribosomal RNA is filed under the name uncultured prokaryote. Its description in RNAcentral is "partial 16S ribosomal RNA". It matches the Rfam family "Bacterial small subunit ribosomal RNA", at positions 524 to 776 of the family's 1533-position model. The record is from RNAcentral.
UACGAGAGGUCCAAACGUUAUUCGGAAUCACUGGGCUUACAGAGUUCGUAGGCGGCUCUACAAGUGAGGUGUGAAAUCCCGGGGCUCAACCCCGGAACUGCGUCUAAAACUACUUGGCUAGAGUAUUGGAGAGGGUAUCGGAAUUCACGGUGUAGCAGUGAAAUGCGUAGAUAUCGUGAGGAACACCAGAGGCGAAGGCGGAUACCUGGACAAUUACUGACGCUCAGGCACGAAAGCGUGGGGAGCAAAAGGG